RNAcentral lists this long non-coding RNA (215 nucleotides) under Medicago truncatula (barrel medic). RNAcentral describes it as "long non-coding RNA (MTRU_LNC003088)". The record is from RNAcentral. Lineage: Eukaryota; Viridiplantae; Streptophyta; Magnoliopsida; Fabales; Fabaceae.
UAUGAUAUGAUCUCCAACUUCCACCUCCAAGGUAGAACCAUUUGGCCUUUUUCUAAAGUUACAUUCCAUAUACUCAAUUUUGCUUCUAUUCAGGCGAAAACCAUACACUUAUGAGGCUUGUCUGCAAGUAUAUAGCCUCCCCAUUCAAUUUCUCAUGUGACUUCAAGCAUAACUACGUCAUAUGCAAAAAAUAUACAAGCAAAAAUAAACACAAA